Molecule: ribosomal RNA, 182 nt
Filed under: uncultured bacterium
Lineage: Bacteria
Description: partial 16S ribosomal RNA
Rfam family: Bacterial small subunit ribosomal RNA
Source: RNAcentral
CAUGAAGCCGGAAUCGCUAGUAAUCGCGGAUCAGAAUGCCGCGGUGAAUACGUUCCCGGGUCUUGUACACACCGCCCGUCACACCAUGGGAGCCGGGAAUGCCCGAAGUCAGUGGCCCAACCGAAAGGGGGGAGCUGCCGAAGGCAGGCCUGGUGACUGGGGUGAAGUCGUAACAAGGUACC